Molecule: ribosomal RNA, 403 nt
Filed under: uncultured bacterium
Lineage: Bacteria
Description: partial 16S ribosomal RNA
Rfam family: Bacterial small subunit ribosomal RNA
Source: RNAcentral
AUUGAACGCUGGCGGCAGGCCUAACACAUGCAAGUCGAGCGAGCGGCGGACGGGUGAGUAAUGUAUGGGGACUGCCCGAUAGAGGGGGAUAACUACUGGAAACGGUAGCUAAUACCGCAUCCUAUCGGAUAACCCAUAUGGGAUUAGCUCGUAGGUGAGGUAAUUGCUCACCUAGGCGACGAUCCCGAGCUGGUCUGAGAGGAUGAUCAGCCACACGGGGACUGAGACACGGCCCAGAAUCCUACGGAGGCAGCAUUGGGGAAUAUUGCACAAUGGGCGCAAUCCUGAUGCAGCCAUGCCGCGGGUAUGAAGAAGGCCCUAGGGUUGUAAAGUACUGUCAGUCGGGAGGCGUUACCGACAGAAGAAGCACCGGCUAACUCCGUGCCAGCAGCCGCGGUAAUUC